UACGUAGGGCGCAAGCGUUACCCGGAAUUAUUGGGCGUAAAGAGCUCGUAGGCGGUUUGUCGCGUCUGCUGUGAAAACCCGAGGCUCAACCUCGGGCCUGCAGUGGGGUACGGGCAGACUAGAGUGCGGUAGGGGAGAUUGGAAUUCCUGGUGUAGCGGUGGAAUGCGCAGGAUAUCAGGAGGAACACCGGGUGGCGAAGGCGGUUCUCUGGGCAUUACCUGACGCUGAGGAGCGAAAGUGUGGGGAGCGAACAGG
This 256-nucleotide ribosomal RNA is filed under the name uncultured bacterium. RNAcentral describes it as "partial 16S ribosomal RNA". It matches the Rfam family "Bacterial small subunit ribosomal RNA", at positions 524 to 776 of the family's 1533-position model. The record is from RNAcentral.